UCGGGAAUUUUGGGCAAUGGGCGCAAGCCUGACCCAGCAACGCCGCGUGAAGGAUGAAAUCCCUCGGGAUGUAAACUUCGUAAGAACAGGAAGAAUAAGUGGGGGCGAAUAUCCCCCAUGAUGACGGUACUGUUUGUAAGCUCCGGCUAACUCCGUGCCAGCAGCCGCGGUAAUACGGGGGGAGCAAGCGUUGUUCGGAUUUACUGGGCGUAAAGGGCGCGUAGGCGGUCACGACAAGUCAGUUGUGAAAUCUCUGGGCUUAACUCAGAACGGUCAACUGAUACUGUCGGACUAGAGUGCAGAAGGGGCAACUGGAAUUCUCGGUGUAGCGGUGAAAUGCGUAGAUAUCGAGAGGAACACCUGCGGCGAAGGCGGGUUGCUGGGCUGACACUGACGCUGAGGCGCGAAAGCUAGGGGAGCGAACGG
This 426-nucleotide ribosomal RNA is filed under the name uncultured bacterium. RNAcentral's name for it is "bacterial SSU rRNA". It matches the Rfam family "Bacterial small subunit ribosomal RNA", at positions 355 to 775 of the family's 1533-position model. The record is from RNAcentral.